Small nuclear RNA from Sorex araneus (European shrew), 105 nucleotides. The record is from RefSeq and is a predicted model, not a curated record. NCBI's taxonomy places the organism in Eukaryota, Metazoa, Chordata, Mammalia, Eulipotyphla, Soricidae.
AUGCUCUUUUCAGCAGCACAUAUACUAAAAUUGGUACUAUGCAGAGAAGUUUAGCAUGGUCUUUGUGCAAGGAAGACGCUUCCAUUUGUAGUGCACCCUAUUUAA